This 492-nucleotide ribosomal RNA is filed under the name uncultured bacterium. Its description in RNAcentral is "partial 16S ribosomal RNA". It matches the Rfam family "Bacterial small subunit ribosomal RNA", at positions 29 to 507 of the family's 1533-position model. The record is from RNAcentral.
AGUGAACGCUGGCGGUAGGCCUAACACAUGCAAGUCGAACGGCAGCACAGUAAGAGCUUGCUCUUACGGGUGGCGAGUGGCGGACGGGUGAGGAAUACAUCGGAAUCUACUUUUUCGUGGGGGAUAACGUAGGGAAACUUACGCUAAUACCUCAUACGACCUACGGGUGAAAGCAGGGGAUCUUCGGACCUUGCGCGAUUGAAUGAGCCGAUGUCGGAUUAGCUAGUUGGCGGGGUAAAGGCCCACCAAGGCGACGAUCCGUAGCUGGUCUGAGAGGAUGAUCAGCCAAACUGGAACUGAGACACGGUCCAGACUCCUACGGGAGGCAGCAGUGGGGAAUAUUGGACAAUGGGCGCAAGCCUGAUCCAGCCAUACCGCGUGGGUGAAGAAGGCCUUCGGGUUGUAAAGCCCUUUUGUUGGGAAAGAAAAGCAGCAGGUUAAUACCCCGCUGUUCUGACGGUACCCAAAGAAUAAGCACCGGCUAACUUCGUG